This 1008-nucleotide ribosomal RNA is filed under the name Pseudomonas aeruginosa. RNAcentral's name for it is "bacterial SSU rRNA". It matches the Rfam family "Bacterial small subunit ribosomal RNA", at positions 1 to 1002 of the family's 1533-position model. Lineage: Bacteria; Pseudomonadati; Pseudomonadota; Gammaproteobacteria; Pseudomonadales; Pseudomonadaceae. The record is from RNAcentral.
UCUAGAGUUAGAGUUUGAUCCUGGCUCAGAUUGAACGCUGGCGGCAGGCCUAACACAUGCAAGUCGAGCGGAUGAAGGGAGCUUGCUCCUGGAUUCAGCGGCGGACGGUGAGUAAUGCCUAGGAAUCUGCCUGGUAGUGGGGGAUAACGUCCGGAAACGGGCGCUAAUACCGCAUACGUCCUGAGGGAGAAAGUGGGGGAUCUUCGGACCUCACGCUAUCAGAUGAGCCUAGGUCGGAUUAGCUAGUUGGUGGGGUAAAGGCCUACCAAGGCGACGAUCCGUAACUGGUCUGAGAGGAUGAUCAGUCACACUGGAACUGAGACACGGUCCAGACUCCUACGGGAGGCAGCAGUGGGGAAUAUUGGACAAUGGGCGAAAGCCUGAUCCAGCCAUGCCGCGUGUGUGAAGAAGGUCUUCGGAUUGUAAAGCACUUUAAGUUGGGAGGAAGGGCAGUAAGUUAAUACCUUGCUGUUUUGACGUUACCAACAGAAUAAGCACCGGCUAACUUCGUGCCAGCAGCCGCGGUAAUACGAAGGGUGCAAGCGUUAAUCGGAAUUACUGGGCGUAAAGCGCGCGUAGGUGGUUCAGCAAGUUGGAUGUGAAAUCCCCGGGCUCAACCUGGGAACUGCAUCCAAAACUACUGAGCUAGAGUACGGUAGAGGGUGGUGGAAUUUCCUGUGUAGCGGUGAAAUGCGUAGAUAUAGGAAGGAACACCAGUGGCGAAGGCGACCACCUGGACUGAUACUGACACUGAGGUGCGAAAGCGUGGGGAGCAAACAGGAUUAGAUACCCUGGUAGUCCACGCCGUAAACGAUGUCGACUAGCCGUUGGGAUCCUUGAGAUCUUAGUGGCGCAGCUAACGCGAUAAGUCGACCGCCUGGGGAGUACGGCCGCAAGGUUAAAACUCAAAUGAAUUGACGGGGGCCCGCACAAGCGGUGGAACAUGUGGUUUAAUUCCAAGCAACGCGAAGAACCUUACCUGGCCUUGAAAUGCUGGAGAAUUUUCCA